UACAUAUUUCUUGCUCAAUGAAUAUGUAUUGCUUGCAAAAUUAGAAAGAAAACAAUAAAUGUCAUUAAAAAUGAAAAAAAAAG
Balaenoptera musculus (blue whale) is the source of this 83-nucleotide long non-coding RNA. RefSeq lists it as uncharacterized. The record is from RefSeq and is a predicted model, not a curated record. NCBI's taxonomy places the organism in Eukaryota, Metazoa, Chordata, Mammalia, Artiodactyla, Balaenopteridae. The transcript is spliced from 3 exons.